AACGUAGGUGGCGAGCGUUAUCCGGAUUCAUUGGGCGUAAAGAGCUUGUAGGUGGCUUUGUAAGUUGGACGUGAAAACUCCGGGCUUAACUUGGAGAGGCCGUUCAAUACUGCGAGGCUGGAGGAUGUCAGAGGGAAGUGGAAUUCCUGGUGUAGCAGUGAAAUGCGUAGAUAUCAGGAGGAACACCCGUGGCGAAGGCGGCUUCCUGGGACAUCCCUGACACUGAGAAGCGAAAGCUAGGGGAGCAAACGGG
RNAcentral lists this ribosomal RNA (253 nucleotides) under uncultured bacterium. Its description in RNAcentral is "partial 16S ribosomal RNA". It matches the Rfam family "Bacterial small subunit ribosomal RNA", at positions 524 to 776 of the family's 1533-position model. The record is from RNAcentral.